This 458-nucleotide ribosomal RNA is filed under the name Streptococcus sanguinis. RNAcentral describes it as "bacterial SSU rRNA". It matches the Rfam family "Bacterial small subunit ribosomal RNA", at positions 28 to 470 of the family's 1533-position model. Lineage: Bacteria; Bacillati; Bacillota; Bacilli; Lactobacillales; Streptococcaceae. The record is from RNAcentral.
GACGAACGCUGGCGGCGUGCCUAAUACAUGCAAGUAGAACGCUGAAGAGAGGAGCUUGCUCUUCUUGGAUGAGUUGCGAACGGGUGAGUAACGCGUAGGUAACCUGCCUGGUAGCGGGGGAUAACUAUUGGAAACGAUAGCUAAUACCGCAUAAAAUUGAUUAUUGCAUGAUAAUUAAUUGAAAGAUGCAACUGCAUCACUACCAGAUGGACCUGCGUUGUAUUAGCUAGUUGGUGAGGUAACGGCUCACCAAGGCGACGAUACAUAGCCGACCUGAGAGGGUGAUCGGCCACACUGGGACUGAGACACGGCCCAGACUCCUACGGGAGGCAGCAGUAGGGAAUCUUCGGCAAUGGGGGGAACCCUGACCGAGCAACGCCGCGUGAGUGAAGAAGGUUUUCGGAUCGUAAAGCUCUGUUGUAAGAGAAGAACGGGUGUGAGAGUGGAAAGUUCACACU